Non-coding RNA from Toxocara canis (dog roundworm), 73 nucleotides. Lineage: Eukaryota; Metazoa; Nematoda; Chromadorea; Rhabditida; Toxocaridae. The record is from Rfam.
GUGGCAGUAGGUCACUGGUGGAGCUCCCGCUUUGUACGCGGGAAGACCUGAGUUCGAUUCCCGGCUGCUUACC